UCCUACGGGAGGCAGCAGUGGGGAAUCUUGCGCAAUGGGCGAAAGCCUGACGCAGCGACGCCGCGUGAGUGAUGAAGGCCUUCGGGUUGUAAAGCUCUGUGGAGAGGGACGAAUAAGGGUUGGCUAACAUCCAGUCUGAUGACGGUACCUCUUUAGCAAGCACCGGCUAACUCUGUGCCAGCAGCCGCGGUAAGACAGAGGGUGCAAACGUUGUUCGGAAUUACUGGGCGUAAGCGCGUGUAGGCUGCUUCGCAAGUCGGGUGUGAAAGCCCUGGGCUCAACCUAGGAAGUGCACUCGAAACUGCGAAGCUGGAGUCCUGGAGAGGAAGGCGGAAUUCUCGGUGUAGAGGUGAAAUUCGUAGAUAUCGAGAGGAACACCGGUGGCGAAGGCGGCCUUCUGGACAGUGACUGACGCUGAGACGCGAAAGCGUGGGGAGCAAACAGGAUUAGAUACCCCGGUAGC
Molecule: ribosomal RNA, 463 nt
Filed under: uncultured bacterium
Lineage: Bacteria
Description: bacterial SSU rRNA
Rfam family: Bacterial small subunit ribosomal RNA
Source: RNAcentral